GAUGAACGCUGGCGGCGUGCCUAAUACAUGCAAGUCGAGCGAACAGACGAGGAGCUUGCUCCUCUGACGUUAGCGGCGGACGGGUGAGUAACACGUGGAUAACCUACCUAUAAGACUGGGAUAACUUCGGGAAACCGGAGCUAAUACCGGAUAAUAUAUUGAACCGCAUGGUUCAAUAGUGAAAGACGGUUUUGCUGUCACUUAUAGAUGGAUCAGCGCCGCAUUAGCUAGUUGGUAAGGUAACGGCUUACCAAGGCAACGAUGCGUAGCCGACCUGAGAGGGUGAUCGGCCACACUGGAACUGAGACACGGUCCAGACUCCUACGGGAGGCAGCAGUAGGGAAUCUUCCGAAAUGGGCGAAAGCCUGAUGGAGCAACGCCGCGUGAGUGAUGAAGGUCUUCGGAUCGUAAAACACUGUUAUUAGGGAAGAACAAAUGUGUAAGUAACUAUGCACGUCUUGACGGUACCUAAUCAGAAAGCCACGGCUAACUACGU
This 496-nucleotide ribosomal RNA is filed under the name uncultured bacterium. Its description in RNAcentral is "partial 16S ribosomal RNA". It matches the Rfam family "Bacterial small subunit ribosomal RNA", at positions 28 to 506 of the family's 1533-position model. The record is from RNAcentral.